CCGUCCGAUUUGUGAAGUUAAGCAGCCACAGGCUUAGUUAGUACUGAGGUCAGUGAUGACUCGGGAACCCUGAGUGCUGUACCCUCAUAACUC
RNAcentral lists this ribosomal RNA (93 nucleotides) under Phytomonas sp. DAC-2012. The record is from RNAcentral. Lineage: Eukaryota; Euglenozoa; Kinetoplastea; Trypanosomatida; Trypanosomatidae.